This 1671-nucleotide ribosomal RNA is filed under the name Triticum aestivum (bread wheat). RNAcentral describes it as "partial small subunit ribosomal RNA". Lineage: Eukaryota; Viridiplantae; Streptophyta; Magnoliopsida; Poales; Poaceae. The record is from RNAcentral.
AUGAAAUUUAAUUUUUUCUGUAGUUUGGAUGAAGACAUUUGGCAAUUAAGGAUCCAUUUUGAUGCAAGAGAACCAUUGGAGAUGAAGCUGUGUGGUUCAGAUAUUACUUAUCUAAAUUUGGUUGCAGUGAUGGAAACCCAAGGAUUUAAUGCAUAUGAUUGUUUGUUUCACAUUGAAAAUCCAUCUUUAGGAGAGAAAGGGCUGGAUUUGGUAGACAGUCAUGCAGAAUUACAGAUGAUAAAGAGGAAGAUCCAGGACAAAUUGGUGCUUAAUUUGCUAGUCAGGGCUUGUCCACCCCCUGAUACUGAUUUUGAGAUGCAGCAUUUUGAAAAGCCAGACUUGUCCACUAUGGUGUACCAAGAGCCUGUUGUUUAUGAUCUGAGUGAGCCUCCUAUCUUAGCUGUUGAUCAGGAAGGAGUAGUCUUUGAGAGUCAAUGUAGCACACAUCACCCUGUUGCUCCUGCUGGUGUUUGCACACAAGAAAGCAGAAAUGCAACUAACAAGUUGAAAGCAGUUUUGGAAGAAGAAGAGGGAUACCAAGGAUUUGAGGCUUAUGAGGACAGUGAUUCCUCUGAUGAGGAUGGUCAAAUUGGAAGUGACCCUAAUUACAUGGUUGAUGAAGAAGAUGUAGAGGUGGAAGAGGGAAAGAGGCAGAGAGAGCUAGAAGUACAAGAGGAAGAAUCAGAUGAUGAUCAAUCAGAAGAGGAAGAAAUGCUGCAUUAUGAGGGUGACACUGAAGUUGAGGACCCAUUUGAGGUAGAGGAAGAUAGGACUUUUGAACAAGAAGAAGAAACUAUAGUUGAACCUGUAAAGAAGAAGCAGAAGCUGCCAGUUAGAAGAGGCCCAACCACUAGGUCACAUUGUAGUGAGCUACCAGAGGUUGAACCUGAUUUCAGACCAUCAUCAGAUGAAGAAGAGGAGGGGUUGUUGAGGGAGAGUGAUGAUGAUGGUUUUCAGCCACUCUCUUUUGUCCUACAAAAGAAAAGGAAGAGUAGGGCAAAGAAAAGGCCUCCUAGGAAGUGGUACAAUGAGAAAAUGGAGCAACCACAUGAGCAACUAUGUAUGAAGUUGUGUUUUAGGGAUCAGCAUCAAUUCAGAGAAGCUUUGUUGAAUUUGCACGUCACCCAGGCCAGGAAUUUCAGGUAUCACAGGAAUUCAGAUCAGAGGAUAAUUGUUGAGUGUACAGAUAAAAAAUGCCAGUUCUCAAUGGUGGCAGCAGUUAUAAAAGGGGAGAAAACAUUUGUAAUUAAGAAGAUGAGACUAGAGCACACUUGCCCUAGUACCACUGAGACCACCAGGGUUAGUGCUAAGUGGCUAGCACAGAAAUAUGAUCAUCUCUUUAGAUCUGAUAUAACUACUGGUAUUCAGACUAUAAUUGAUGCAUGCAAUGAAAAAUAUGGUGUAGAUGUGCCCAAGUGCAUGGCAUAUAGGGCAAAGAACAUAGCUAUUGAUGCUGUGUUAGGAGAUCACAGGAAGCAAUAUCCUAGGCUUAAAGACUAUGCUCAGACUGUCAUGGACACAAACCCUGGGAGUAGAGUAAUAGUCACUACUGUUACUCCAGUACCUAAUGCAAAAAUACCCCACCCAGGCCCAAGAUUCCAUGCCAUGUUUUUUUGCCUUAAUGGAGCAAGGGAGGGGUUUCUCAAUGGGUGUAGGCCUUUCAUUGGUUAG